Molecule: ribosomal RNA, 497 nt
Filed under: uncultured bacterium
Lineage: Bacteria
Description: partial 16S ribosomal RNA
Rfam family: Bacterial small subunit ribosomal RNA
Source: RNAcentral
GAUGAACGCUGGCGGCGUGCCUAAUACAUGCAAGUCGAGCGAACGGACGAUAAUCUUGCUUCUCUGAUGUGAGCGGCGGACGUGUGAGUAACACGUGGAUAACCUACCUAUAAUACUGGGAUAACUUCGGGAAACCGGAGCUAAUACCGUAUAAUAUUUUGAACCGCAUUGUUCAAAGGUGAAAGACGGUCUUUCUGGCACUUAUAGAUGGAUCCGCGCUGCAUUAGCUAGUUGUUAAGGUAACGGCUUACCAAGGCAACGAUGCAUAGCCGACCUGAGAGAGGGAUAGGCGACACUGGAACGGGGCCAGCGACAAGACGACUACGGGACGCAGCAGUAGGCAACCGUACGCAACAGGCGAGAGCAUGACGGAGUAACGGCGAGCCAGAUAUGAAGGUCUUCGGAGCGUAAAAAUCUCUUAUUAGGGAAGAACAUAUGUCGAAGUAAAUGUGGAGAUAGUGACGGUAACUAAUAAGAAAGCAACGGCUAACUACGUG